UAAUGCCAACUUGCAUCAGCAACGUCACCUGUCUUCAAACACGGGUACUUAUUGAUUUGCUCUCGUAAUAAAUUUCAAUG
Long non-coding RNA from Mycetomoellerius zeteki, 80 nucleotides. RefSeq lists it as uncharacterized. Lineage: Eukaryota; Metazoa; Arthropoda; Insecta; Hymenoptera; Formicidae. The record is from RefSeq and is a predicted model, not a curated record. The transcript has 3 exons.